Long non-coding RNA from Dama dama (fallow deer), 331 nucleotides. RefSeq lists it as uncharacterized. The transcript has 4 exons. NCBI's taxonomy places the organism in Eukaryota, Metazoa, Chordata, Mammalia, Artiodactyla, Cervidae. The record is from RefSeq and is a predicted model, not a curated record.
GUAAAGCAGUGAGGAUGAGAAGGAAGUCAGUGCCCUGCACUCACAGGCGAAGUAUUAACACAGGUCUUUGGAAUAACUGGAAAAACGAGCUAAAAAUCAAAAAGACUCAACGAAAGCAGUACCAAAACCACAUCAUAUCUUGAAUGGUGCUUUUACAGCUUUCAAAGUCCUCAACUCUGUGUUCUUCAAAGAUGCCCCUCAUCACUUCCCAUUAUCAUCAUCUCUUUUUUCAGGAACAGAAGGUCUUACCUUAAAUACCACCUCCUCAUGGACAGAUUUCUUGAUGGCCUUACCUAGUAGCUUAAGAAGGACAAGCUGAUUUUCAUUGCUG